Molecule: ribosomal RNA, 1447 nt
Filed under: uncultured prokaryote
Description: partial 16S ribosomal RNA
Rfam family: Bacterial small subunit ribosomal RNA
Source: RNAcentral
UAAAACAUGCAAGUCGGACGGUAAGGCUCACUUCGGUGAGUACACGAGUGGCGAACGGGUGCGUAACGCGUAUGCAACCUACCUUUAACAGAGAGAUAGCCCCGAGAAAUUGGGAUUAAUAUCACAUAAUAUCAUAAUGCAACCUUGUAUAAUGAUUAAAGCUCCGGCGGUUAAAGAUGGGCAUGCGUAGCAUUAGUUUGUUGGUAAGGUAACGGCUUACCAAGACUACAAUGCUUAGGGGUUCUGAGAGGAUUAUCCCCCACACUGGUACUGAGACACGGACCAGACUCCUACGGGAGGCAGCAGUGAGGAAUAUUGGGCAAUGGACGCAAGUCUGACCCAGCCAUGCCGCGUGCAGGAUGACACCCUAGUUGGUUGUAAACUGCUUUUAUACAGGAAGAAAAGUCCCUACGUGUAGGGACCUGACGGUACUGUAAGAAUAAGGAUCGGCUAACUCCGUGCCAGCAGCCGCGGUAAUACGGAGGAUCCAAGCGUUAUCCGGAUUUAUUGGGUUUAAAGGGUGCGCAGGCGGAAUAGUAAGUCAGUGGUGAAAUCCUACGGCUCAACCGUAGAACUGCCAUUGAUACUGCUGUUCUUGAGUUCAGAUGAGGUAGGCGGAAUGUGUCGUGUAGCGGUGAAAUGCUUAGAUAUGACACAGAACUCCGAUAGCGAAGGCAGCUUACCAAACUGACACUGACGCUGAGGCACGAAAGCGUGGGGAGCGAACAGGAUUAGAUACCCUGGUAGUCCACGCUGUAAACGAUGAUCACUAGUUGUUGGCGAUAUAUUGUCAGCGACCAAGCGAAAGCGAUAAGUGAUCCACCUGGGGAGUACGAUCGCAAGGUUGAAACUCAAAGGAAUUGACGGGGGCCCGCACAAGCGGUGGAGCAUGUGGUUUAAUUCGAUAAUAAGCGAGGAGCCUCACCAGGACUUGACAUAUAGCUGGCAUAGAGUAGAAAUAUUCUUUUCCUUAGGGACUAUUUACAAGGUGCUGCAUGGUUGUCGUCAGCUUCGUGCCGUGAGGUGUCGGGUUAAGUCCCAUAACGAGCGCAACCCCCUACCCUUAGUUGCCAGCGGGUCAUGCCGGGGACUCUAGGAAAACUGCCAGCGUAAGCUGUGAGGAAGGUGGGGAUGACGUCAAAUCAGCACGGCCCUUACGUCUAGGGCUACACACGUGCUACAAUGGCCGGUACAGAGGGCAGCUACCACGUGAGUGGAUGCGAAUCUCCAAAGCCGGUCUCAGUUCGGAUCGAAGUCUGCAACUCGACUUCGUGAAGUUGGAUUCGCUAGUAAUCGUAUAUCAGCAAUGAUACGGUGAAUACGUUCCCGGGCCUUGUACACACCGCCCGUCAAACAAUGGAAGCUGGGGGUACCUAAAGUCUGUCACCGGUAAGGAAGCGGCCUAGGGUAAAACUAGUAACUGGGGCUAAGUCGUAACAAGGUAGCU